RNAcentral lists this long non-coding RNA (536 nucleotides) under Homo sapiens (human). RNAcentral's name for it is "novel transcript". Lineage: Eukaryota; Metazoa; Chordata; Mammalia; Primates; Hominidae. The record is from RNAcentral.
UUUCACAUAACAUUUAAGACAUUUAAGAACUUAUGUCUGUCUGUGUCAUCCCUUUAUGUCAAAAGAUGUCUUUUUGUCACUUCCAGCUGGAUCUACCAUGAAAGACUUCUGAAUCCAGGAAGAGAGACUGACUGGGCAACAUGUUAUUCAGGGUCUCCCUCUGUUGUCCAAGGCUGGAGUGUAGUAGUGCUAUCGCAGCUGACUGCAGCCUCAACCUUCCAGGCUGAAGCGAUCCUCCCACCUCAACCUCCCACGUGGCUGAGACUACAGGUGCUUGCCACUAUGCCCAACUAAUAUUUGGAAUUUUCGUAUACGUGGAUUCCAGAGGGGUGACAGCGAAACGUGAGUAAGCAUGGAUUUUGGUAUAUGCAGAGAUGGGGGGCUGGAACUAAUUCUGUAUACUGAGGGACGGCAACUGUGUAUGUUUUUACAAUUACGCUGUAGGAUACAUACUGUUGCAUAGCCUUGAAAAUAAUAAUUUUUAAUUGAGUGGAAUAAUAAUAAUAUUGAUAAAAGUAGCAGCUGGCCAGGUGUGG